UCCUUGUGUCUCUGGACAUAAAAUGUAUAAACUGUUCCAGGUAAGCGUCACCUUUCUUGUGGAAAUUCAUGGGAUUAUUUGCUGAGGGUUAAUCCUGAAAAGUUUCAUCCCAUAGUCUCAUCCACCCCCCUCCUACUGCUGUGGGACCCCUGAUGGUAGAAACUUCCCCAGCCCCACCUGCUGCCACUGUAAGCUGUCCUUCCUUCACUGCUAAGAUUCCAGGCUCUGGAGUGAGAGUGCCUGGAUUUGAAUCCUGCCUUGGCCCCAGCUGUGUGACUGUGCGGAAGCUACUUACCUAAGCCUCAGUUUCUUCACUGUAAAUGGGAAUAGUCAUAAUGCCUACCAAAUGGGUUUUAUUGUGUGUGACAAUUGAAUGAGGCGAUUCAUUUGAGGCACUGUGCCUGGCAGAUUGUAAGUACACAAUAAUACUAUUGUUACUUUUAUCCCCAGAGACUGUUGGCCUUCCCUAAUAUGCAUUCUCUCCUUCCUUGGUAAUAGAAUUUUCACUGGACACCUGGAACACAAUAAAAUGUGUAUUUUUAAAAGCC
RNAcentral lists this long non-coding RNA (548 nucleotides) under Pongo abelii (Sumatran orangutan). RNAcentral's name for it is "lincRNA". The record is from RNAcentral. Lineage: Eukaryota; Metazoa; Chordata; Mammalia; Primates; Hominidae.